RNAcentral lists this ribosomal RNA (461 nucleotides) under uncultured bacterium. RNAcentral's name for it is "partial 16S ribosomal RNA". It matches the Rfam family "Bacterial small subunit ribosomal RNA", at positions 339 to 795 of the family's 1533-position model. The record is from RNAcentral.
CUACGGGGGGCAGCAGUCGAGAAUCUUCCGCAAUGGACGAAAGUCUGACGGAGCGACGCCGCGUGCGGGAUGAAGGCCUUCGGGUUGUAAACCGCUGUCAGUGGGGAGGAAAUGCAUCAGGGUUCUCCCUGGUGUUUGACCGAUCCGCAGAGGAAGCGCAGGCUAAGUUCGUGCCAGCAGCCGCGGUAACACGAACUGCGCGAACGUUAUUCGGAAUCACUGGGCUUAAAGAGUUCGUAGGCGGCCUUUCAAGUUGGGUGUGAAAUCCCUCGGCUCAACCGAGGAAUUGCGCCUGAUACUGUUGGGCUUGAGGGGGAUAGGGGUGAGCGGAACUGAUGGUGGAGCGGUGAAAUGCGUUGAUAUCAUCAGGAACACCGGUGGCGAAGGCGACUCACUGGAUCUCUUCUGACGCUGAGGAACGAAAGCUAGGGGAGCGAACGGGAUUAGAUACCCGGGUAGUC